RNAcentral lists this unclassified non-coding RNA (331 nucleotides) under Hevea brasiliensis (rubber tree). The record is from RNAcentral. Lineage: Eukaryota; Viridiplantae; Streptophyta; Magnoliopsida; Malpighiales; Euphorbiaceae.
AACAACCAAGAAUGCCCAGGCAGCAAAUGGUAACAAGCACAAUCCAAAUUAAACAAAUUUCAAUCCCACAACAAUCAAUUUGCAAGUUUACAAAUUCAAAAAAUCAAAACCCAUAAACUGAUUAACAAAAUUUCAACAAAGUCAAACAAAAAAACUAAGAGAGAAGAAGACAUGCAUCGAUAUAAUAUGCUGUGAACAACCGAUUAGAAGAAGAAAUUAUAAUAUCAGCACCGACGAGGCAAACCCAUGAAGCUUAGUCCCAAACGACAUUGUCCAGUGGAAGAAGACAAUUGUAGAAGCUUCAAUCGACCAUCAUAAAAGACUAGAAGAA